UACGGAGGGUGCAAGCGUUAUCCGGAUUCACUGGGUUUAAAGGGUGCGUAGGUGGGCUGGUAAGUCCGUGGUGAAAUCUCCGAGCUUAACUCGGAAAGGUCAACUGAUACUGUGCGGCUAGAGUGCAGAAGGGGCAACUGGAAUUCUUGGUGUAGCGGUGAAAUGCGUAGAUAUCAAGAGGAACACCUGCGGCGAAGGCGGGUUGCUGGGCUGACACUGACGCUGAGGCGCGAAAGCUAGGGGAGCGAACGGG
RNAcentral lists this ribosomal RNA (253 nucleotides) under uncultured bacterium. Its description in RNAcentral is "partial 16S ribosomal RNA". It matches the Rfam family "Bacterial small subunit ribosomal RNA", at positions 524 to 776 of the family's 1533-position model. The record is from RNAcentral.